Molecule: transfer RNA, 71 nt
Filed under: Caldanaerobius fijiensis DSM 17918
Lineage: Bacteria; Bacillati; Bacillota; Clostridia; Thermoanaerobacterales; Thermoanaerobacteraceae
Rfam family: tRNA
About the family: Transfer RNA (tRNA) molecules are approximately 80 nucleotides in length. Their secondary structure includes four short double-helical elements and three loops (D, anti-codon, and T loops). Further hydrogen bonds mediate the characteristic L-shaped molecular structure. tRNAs have two regions of fundamental functional importance: the anti-codon, which is responsible for specific mRNA codon recognition, and the 3' end, to which the tRNAs corresponding amino acid is attached (by aminoacyl-tRNA synthetases). tRNAs cope with the degeneracy of the genetic code in two manners: having more than one tRNA (with a specific anti-codon) for a particular amino acid; and 'wobble' base-pairing, i.e. permitting non-standard base-pairing at the 3rd anti-codon position.
Source: Rfam by way of RNAcentral
GGGGACAUAGUUUAAAGGGAGAAUGCUACAUUCGCAUUGUAGUGGUUCGGGUUCGAUUCCCGAUGUCUCCA